This is a small nucleolar RNA of Mus caroli (Ryukyu mouse), 139 nucleotides long. RefSeq annotates it as small nucleolar RNA SNORA48. NCBI's taxonomy places the organism in Eukaryota, Metazoa, Chordata, Mammalia, Rodentia, Muridae. The record is from RefSeq and is a predicted model, not a curated record.
UGCCCCGGCAAUGGGCAAAGGGAUGCCUUGUUGGUGGUGUUCUUAUAUCAAUCAUGGGUAGAGCAGAUGUCAGUACUUUGUUUAUCCUAGAUUGAUGCCUGGCUUGGUGGCCAAACUGACUUAUGCGUGGGACUCAUAA